AAAUCAGUCUUCGAAGAAGAAAGGCUAAUUAAGUAAUCAUUCGAAUUUGAAAGAUAGCCCCGACGCCCAAGCAUGAAUAGCGGACGGGGAGGGAGAAGUCCUCACUGAGACUCACUUAUAUUCUUUCUACACUCUCUAAUCACCGGCCCCCCGUCUUUUCACUUCUAAGCCGAUGGAAGGUAGAGGGAAGUCGUCGCCUUCCCCCUCUCCGCACCACAGGUUUCUCCUACGAUUAGUUUUCCAAUGAGGAUUAGAUUUCCAAUGUAUAUGUCUUAUUUGACAAAGCUGUUUACGUAAUAGGCUGCUGGCUAGAAACAUAGGAAUUUGGAAUGUUGAGAUGACUGGUACAUUUCUCGAUACACUUGAGUAGAUGCUUUCAACAAGCCCUACUCACAGAUAGCUAAUGAGCUAGCUUUUUUAAAAAGAAACCAGCAAUACUGGAUGCGAUGUUUGGA
Molecule: long non-coding RNA, 455 nt
Filed under: Populus trichocarpa (black cottonwood)
Lineage: Eukaryota; Viridiplantae; Streptophyta; Magnoliopsida; Malpighiales; Salicaceae
Description: long non-coding RNA (PTRI_LNC003452)
Source: RNAcentral